Small RNA from Clostridium carboxidivorans P7, 74 nucleotides. It matches the Rfam family "RAGATH-18 RNA". From Rfam's summary of the family: Actinobacteria, Firmicutes, Fusobacteria, Thermotogae (1 example). The record is from Rfam. NCBI's taxonomy places the organism in Bacteria, Bacillati, Bacillota, Clostridia, Eubacteriales, Clostridiaceae.
CCCUUGGAGUGUUAUAUCAAACGAAAGUAGUAUAUUCUUUUAGAAUUACAAAAUCGGACACAUUGAACAGGGAA